AAUUUUUUCACGUAACCAGGAAAACCAGCUCUGAGUAAAGUUGAAGUUCUUGAGAGAGAGAUUCAUAAAAACCAAACACUGGUCCAGGUUGAGAUUCAGUCAGGAAGGCCACACCAAAUUCGUAUCCAUCUUUCUUACAUAGGACAUCCUUUGUUAGGGGAUCCUCUUUAUGUUCUUGGUGGACAACCAAAGUGCUUAGAUUCUGACUUUGUAGAUGAGAGUUUUGCAGAUGAUGGGUAUGCAGUUAUUGUGAUAUAGAGCAUUCUUUUGUGGGUUUUUCAUCAUACUAUUAAAGCAUCCACAAUGGAUUCCCUAAACCACCUCUUUAGAUAAAAUUCAGGAAGGAAGUGAGAAAACUCACCUCCAAGUUCCAACCAUGCUCUCUAUCCAACUCCUAAAAUAGGGAGACCUCUAGGAACUCCUAAAUCUGAGAAGAGAGAAAAGACUCCUAGUGACUCCCUAUAAUUAAAUGU
Molecule: non-coding RNA, 473 nt
Organism: Prunus avium (sweet cherry)
Lineage: Eukaryota; Viridiplantae; Streptophyta; Magnoliopsida; Rosales; Rosaceae
Source: RefSeq, a predicted model, not a curated record